This 253-nucleotide ribosomal RNA is filed under the name uncultured bacterium. RNAcentral describes it as "partial 16S ribosomal RNA". It matches the Rfam family "Bacterial small subunit ribosomal RNA", at positions 524 to 776 of the family's 1533-position model. The record is from RNAcentral.
UACGAACCGUGCGAACGUUGUUCGGAAUCACUGGGUUUAAAGGGCGCGUAGGCGGGCUGUCAAGUCGGUGGUGAAAUCGUUCCGCUCAACGGGACAAUGGCCUUCGAUACUGGCGGUCUGGAGGGAGGUAGGGGCAUGCGGAACUUCCGGUGGAGCGGUGAAAUGCGUAGAUAUCGGGAGGAACACCUGUGGCGAAAGCGGCUCACUGGACCAUAACUGACGCUGAUGCACGAAAGCUGGGGGAGCAAACAAG